GGGACACGUGGUAUCCUGUCUGAAUAUGGGGGGACCAUCCUCCAAGGCUAAAUACUCCUGACUGACCGAUAGUGAACCAGUACCGUGAGGGAAAGGCGAAAAGAACCCCGGCGAGGGGAGUGAAAAAGAACCUGAAACCGUGUACGUACAAGCAGUGGGAGCCUCUUUUAUGGGGUGACUGCGUACCUUUUGUAUAAUGGGUCAGCGACUUAUAUUCUGUAGCAAGGUUAACCGAAUAGGGGAGCCGAAGGGAAACCGAGUCUUAACUGGGCGUUAAGUUGCAGGGUAUAGACCCGAAACCCGGUGAUCUAGCCAUGGGCAGGUUGAAGGUUGGGUAACACUAACUGGAGGACCGAACCGACUAAUGUUGAAAAAUUAGCGGAUGACUUGUGGCUGGGGGUGAAAGGCCAAUCAAACCGGGAGAUAGCUGGUUCUCCCCGAAAGCUAUUUAGGUAGCGCCUCGUGAAUUCAUCUCCGGGGGUAGAGCACUGUUUCGGCAAGGGGGUCAUCCCGACUUACCAA
RNAcentral lists this ribosomal RNA (522 nucleotides) under Escherichia coli. RNAcentral's name for it is "partial 23S ribosomal RNA". It matches the Rfam family "Bacterial large subunit ribosomal RNA", at positions 419 to 942 of the family's 2925-position model. Lineage: Bacteria; Pseudomonadati; Pseudomonadota; Gammaproteobacteria; Enterobacterales; Enterobacteriaceae. The record is from RNAcentral.